RNAcentral lists this transfer RNA (64 nucleotides) under Ennucula tenuis. Its description in RNAcentral is "tRNA-Arg". Lineage: Eukaryota; Metazoa; Mollusca; Bivalvia; Nuculida; Nuculidae. The record is from RNAcentral.
CAACAGAAAGCAGAUAAUGUUUAUGGUUUCGGCCCAUAGGAAGAGGUAAUAACCUCUCUGUUAU